GCGCCUGUAGCUCAGUGGAUAGAGCGUCGGCCUCCGGAGCCGAAGGUCCCGCGUUCGAAUCGCGGCAGGCGCA
This 73-nucleotide transfer RNA is filed under the name Gemmatimonas sp. SM23_52. RNAcentral describes it as "tRNA-Arg". It matches the Rfam family "tRNA". From Rfam's summary of the family: Transfer RNA (tRNA) molecules are approximately 80 nucleotides in length. Their secondary structure includes four short double-helical elements and three loops (D, anti-codon, and T loops). Lineage: Bacteria; Pseudomonadati; Gemmatimonadota; Gemmatimonadia; Gemmatimonadales; Gemmatimonadaceae. The record is from RNAcentral. RNAcentral also lists the same sequence under 1 other name.